GCCAGGCGCGGUGGCGCGUGCCUGUAAUCCCAGCUACUCAGGAGGCUGAGGCAGGAGAAUCGCUUGAACCAGGGAGCUGGAGGUUGCAGUGAGCCGAGACGCACCACAGCAGUCCAGCCUGGCGACAGAGCGAGACUCUGUCUCAA
RNAcentral lists this small RNA (146 nucleotides) under Pongo abelii (Sumatran orangutan). RNAcentral describes it as "Metazoan signal recognition particle RNA (ENSPPYG00000036236.1)". Lineage: Eukaryota; Metazoa; Chordata; Mammalia; Primates; Hominidae. The record is from Rfam by way of RNAcentral.